Long non-coding RNA from Cygnus atratus (black swan), 561 nucleotides. RefSeq lists it as uncharacterized. The transcript is spliced from 4 exons. NCBI's taxonomy places the organism in Eukaryota, Metazoa, Chordata, Aves, Anseriformes, Anatidae. The record is from RefSeq and is a predicted model, not a curated record.
AAACCUAGCUAUGUGGAAAAGAAAUUAUCCCUUUAAGCAUGCUGCCCAUUGAGCCCACAGGCACCUUGUUGUCCUAGGUUAGUUUUAACAGAUUUCAGAGUUUCAGAUUUUAGAGAAACACAAGAUGAAAGAUCAGACAACACUUGUAAGAGAGUAUGACAGAGGAAAAUAAAAAAAGGAAUAGAGAGACAAAGUUUAGCAUACCAAAAGAACUGUGGAAAUUGGUGGAGACUGAAGGAAGACAUGCUUCCUAAGCAGAUGAAUUUCAGUAUUUCACAGUGAAUCUGGAAUCAGAAAAAGCUUUUUGGAGUGCUUUUGUGCUGGCUGAUGAGGCCAUUUCCCAGCCAACCAGACUGUAUGAAAGAACUGCCUAAAUAUCAUGGAAGAGUAUGCAUUCAGGAGACAGCAGUGUCUCAUGAUAGGAACAGGAGGCCUUGCAGAAAAAAAUAUUUCAACUGAAUUAUGAGUUGGCACAACUGCAAGUCUUCUCCCAGAACUGAAUAUCUGCACAAAUGGCAUGGUCAAGCUUUCUUCUCCAUAAAGUGCUGCUACAGAGUUAUG